Molecule: ribosomal RNA, 547 nt
Filed under: uncultured Roseobacter sp.
Lineage: Bacteria; Pseudomonadati; Pseudomonadota; Alphaproteobacteria; Rhodobacterales; Roseobacteraceae
Description: bacterial SSU rRNA
Rfam family: Bacterial small subunit ribosomal RNA
Source: RNAcentral
AAGUCUGACGCAGCCAUGCCGCGUGAGUGAGGAAGGCCUUCGGGUUGUAAAGCUCUGUCAUUCGGGAAAAAUAGCCAUUCGGGGAAAGUUCGAGUGGUUUGAUGGUACCGAAGGAGGAAGCACCGGCAAACUCUGUGCCAGCAGCCGCGGUAAUACAGAGGGUGCAAGCGUUGUUCGGAAUUACUGGGCGUAAAGCGAGCGUAGUCGGUAUUGAGAGUCACGGGUGAAAUCCCCACGCUUAACGUGGGAACUGCCUGUGAGACCUCAGUACUAGAGUGUGAGAGGGGAUAGUGGAAUACCAAGUGUAGCGGUGAAAUGCGUAGAGAUUUGGUGGAACACCGGUGGCGAAGGCGGCUAUCUGGCUCACAACUGACGAUCAGGCUCGAAAGCGUGGGGAGCAAACAGGAUUAGAUACCCUGGUAGUCCACGCCGUAAACUAUGCACACAAGAUGUAGUAGGGUUUUACUCCUGCUGUGUCGAAGCUAACGUAAUUAGUGUGCCGCCUGGGGAGUACGGUCGCAAGACUAAAACUCAAAGGAAUUGACGG